Molecule: ribosomal RNA, 274 nt
Filed under: uncultured bacterium
Lineage: Bacteria
Description: partial 16S ribosomal RNA
Rfam family: Bacterial small subunit ribosomal RNA
Source: RNAcentral
AUACGGAGGGUGCAAGCGUUACUGGGAAUCACUGGGCGUAAAGCGCGCGCAGGCGGCUAUUUAAGUUGGAUGGGAAAGCCUACGGCUCAACCGUAGAACUGCAUCCAAAACUAUUUAGCUAGAGUGUGGGAGAGGAAGAUGGAAUUAGUUGUGUAGGGGUAAAAUCCGUAGAGAUAACUAGGAAUACCAAAAGCGAAGGCAAUCUUCUGGAACACUACUGACGCUGAGGCGCGAAAGCGUGGGGAGCAAACAGGAUUAGAAACCCUAGUAGUCC